Molecule: non-coding RNA, 1555 nt
Organism: Elaeis guineensis (African oil palm)
Lineage: Eukaryota; Viridiplantae; Streptophyta; Magnoliopsida; Arecales; Arecaceae
Source: RefSeq, a predicted model, not a curated record
UAAGCAGGACAACCAAAUACUCUCAACUGAGAGUAAUCAGCAGGUAACCCGGACCAGAUCUCAAAAGGAGUUUUACACUCAAUAGCUGUAGAUGGAGAUCGAUUUACCAAGAAAUAGGCUGUAUUAAUUGCUUCAGCCCAGAAAUCCUUUCCCAAACCUGAAUGUGAGAGCAUGCUUCGUGCUUUGUCACAAAGCGUUCUGCUCAUGCGUUCUGCAAUACCAUUCUGUUGUGGUGUCCCAGUACAAGUGCGGUGUCUCACUAUACCUUCGUCACUGCAGAAAGCAUCGAACUCACGAUUACAAAAUUCCAAUCCAUUAUCAGUUCUAAGAUGCUUGACCUUCUUUUCUGUCUGCUUCUCAAUCAUCGUCUUCCACUUAACAAAAGUUGGAAAUGCCUCGUCUUUUGUUUUCAGAAAAUACACCCAAACCAUCCGAGAGUAAUCAUCAAUCAAAGUCAUGAAAUACCUGGCACCAUCAGAUUUAUAUUCCCACAAAUCCUUGAGGUGCAGAAAGCCUACCUAAAGGUAUUGUUGAGUCAGAAUCAGAUUUUUAUCUGUGCAGAUUGUGGGGCAACCCAGAUGAGGACCAUGUUGUCCGACAGAAGUAUCUUGUAACAUUCACAGUCGGAUAUGAACAGAGAGAUAAUAUUGAUGCAGCCAUCAAGAAAUUCUCUGAAAAUUUCACUAUCUUAUUGUUCCACUACGAUGGCCGGACUAGUGAAUGGGAUGAAUUUGAGUGGUCAAAGCGGGCUAUACAUGUGAGUGCAAGGAAGCAAGCUAAAUGAUGGUAUGCUAAAUGGUUUUUGCUCCCCGACAUUGUGGCCGCAUAUGAGUAUAUAUUCAUCUGGGAUGAAGACUUAGGACUUGAGCAUUUUGAUGCGGAAGAGUAUAUUAAACUGGUAAAGAAACAUGGGCUGGAAAUCUCGCAGCCUGGUUUGGAGCCAGACAGAGGGUUGACAUGGCAAAUGACCAAAAGGAGAGAUGAUCGGGAAGUUCACAAGGAAACUGAGGAGCAACCAGGCUGGUGCCCUGACCCCCAUUUGCCACCAUGUGCUGCAUUUGUUGAAAUAAUGGCAACCGUGUUCUCUCGGGAUGCACGGCGAUGUGUAUGGCAUAUGAUUCAGAAUGACUUGAUUCAUGGUUGGGGACUUGAUUUUGCGCUGAGAAAAUGUGUGGAGCCGGCUCAUGAGAAAAUUGGAGUUGUAGAUGCUCAGUGGAUUGUUCAUGAAGUGAUUCCUUCACUCGGGAACGAGGUAGAGAAGGAUAAAGCACCAUGGGAAGGGGUGAGAGAACGGUGUAAGAAGGAAUGGAGAAUGUUUCGAAAACGACUGGCAGUUGCUGAUAAUUCAUAUUACACGGAAAAGGGAAUCAUUCCCCCCAACACAUCGAUUCCCUAUUUUUGAUUAUUAAGGUGAAGCCUAGACACACAUUUUUGAAGCUAAUUUGGUUUUGACCUCCGAGGAGCAAAUUAGGUAGUGUGAGAUGCAGUGUAUGUAGCUACGGAUAGAUGUAUAUUCUUCCAUAGUUAUAGGAUCAAUUCCAAGCAUGAUUUCAUU